AUUGAACGCUGGCGGCAGGCCUAACACAUGCAAGUCGAGCGGAUGAAGGGAGCUUGCUCCUGGAUUCAGCGGCGGACGGGUGAGUAAUGCCUAGGAAUCUGCCUGGUAGUGGGGGAUAACUUCCGGAAACGGGCGCUAAUACCGCAUACUUCCUGAGGGAGAAAGUGGGGGAUCUUCGGACCUCCCGCUAUCAGAUGAGCCUAGGUCGGAUUAGCUAGUUGGUGGGGUAAAGGCCUACCAAGGCGACGAUCCGUAACUGGUCUGAGAGGAUGAUCAGUCACACUGGAACUGAGACACGGUCCAGACUCCUACGGGAGGCAGCAGUGGGGAAUAUUGGACAAUGGGCGAAAGCCUGAUCCAGCCAUGCCGCGUGUGUGAAGAAGGUCUUCGGAUUGUAAAGCACUUUAAGUUGGGAGGAAGGGCAGUAAGUUAAUACCUUGCUGUUUUGACGUUACCAACAGAAUAAGCACCGGCUAACUUCGUG
RNAcentral lists this ribosomal RNA (484 nucleotides) under uncultured bacterium. RNAcentral describes it as "partial 16S ribosomal RNA". It matches the Rfam family "Bacterial small subunit ribosomal RNA", at positions 30 to 507 of the family's 1533-position model. The record is from RNAcentral.